UAGACCUGAACGAGGUUGCAGAAGGUAUUUGGGUUGGUGAUUGGAACUGUGGUCCACUGAGUGUUAGCAUCUGAAGACUGUCUUGGUUCUUAGAUGUUGCUUAUCAGUGAUGCUGCUACUGGUUAUCACUGCACUUUAUCAAAUAGCAUCCCCAUUUCAAUUGAGAAUGAAGAGGUUCUUGGAUAAAGAACUUAUAAAAAUCAGCCUAGAAGAUGGACGUUUGGCAAGCCAUAAUAGACUGCUCCUUUCCCAGGUAUCUCCUGCUUGUUUCCUUUAUCUGUGAAUAGGAAAUGGCUUAAAGGCACCUGUGUGAUGAAGGUCCCAGGGGCAGCUGCCUGACUACUGAAUGCCUGAUUAUGUGUUAACAUGCUUUGUCAGAUAUUGGCAGAAUCUGUUCUCUUCUUUUGCCUUUUCAGCAAGGGUACCAUUGACAGGCUGGCUACCCAUUUAUAGAAAUGUUGUCCAUCAAACUGUGAGGAAGGACAAUAGUGUUUUUCUGUGGCCAGUGACUGUGGGAAACUUUUCUUUGGCUAUUCAGGCAAUUUUUGUAGCUUGCUCUGAAGAGGAGAGACUGAUGAGUGCAAAAAGUACAAUUAAGCAAAGCCAGACUUCAAUUGAAGGCUCUAGUGUAGUCUGCUGUUCUCCUUUUUUUUUUUUAAUUUAGAAGGGGGGAAAAACCCUAUGGGUUUUCAUGUUGCUGUGUGGCAUUCAGCAGGGGGCUAUUACAAUCCUAAAUUUUUUUUCUAGACCACCUAAUUCUAAGUUAAAAUUAAAUGUAAUGAGAGCCACUUGGAGUUCUGAAUAUUUUAAAGCAUAAUUCCCACAGAAGGGAUUCGACCUAAACUGCAGUGAGCAUCAGUUGGCUAAUUAUAGCUGCAUUUUAUAUUACAGCAGGUGUCAGAUGCAGUCAUCUCAAUAAAGUCCACAUAAUACUCGGGAAAUAACAAAGACUUUUCUUUGAAUGUGGGUACUAAUUUCUGCUAGGUGUCAUAUGAGCCUUGAUACUUCUUAUUGGCAUUAACAAGAGCACUGCAGCACUCAGAAAUGCUUUUUGCUUGGGAUGAAUUGAUACUGUAAAGCACUUACCAGUCAGACUUGACAGAUGUCAGUAGUUAAUACUAAUGUUGCAGAGGUCGGAAUAUAAUGCAAAGAGUCUUAUGUAAAUACUCUUAGAUGAUGGGCUGGUUUUGAGAAGGCGCCUGAGCACUGCACCAACUCACUUAAUGAAAGUUAAAUAGAUAGCAGUGGGGUAUCUGCUUUUACUUUGGCUCCUGCUUUAUUGCAAGUCCUCCAGAAGUGAAGGGCAGAUGGUAAGGCAGUAAACUAGGUGAACAAAUACACUGGACUUGGAUAAGGACUUGUUAUGUUCACAGCACUUUCCUUGAGCUUGUGUGGGUGAUUCAAAUUACUAAAGUUAUAGGUCAAAAGCAUGCCUGAAGAUAAGAGCUCCUGUGUAUAUCCCACAGAUAAAAAAUAAAUUUAAUUUAGAAAAUAUGUCUGCAACUGAAAAACAAUUAGACAAUGGCAUAGGCAAGACAAAUGUCUCUUUAAAAUCAUGGCAAUUGUUCCACACUGCUCCGUACUUUUAGGAGUUUUACGGUUUGUCUAACCUAUUGUAAUCACAUUGGAUCACAGCAAGUGAGAUCAAAACAGAAGACCUAUUAAAAUCUUAUUACAAAAUAUCGAUGAGAUAAGACAAAUGUGAACUUUUUACACACAUGCCAUUCUGGGAUCAACACUAUUUAUUUUAAAUCUAAUUCAGAGGUAACAAAGCAAAGAGAAUUGUCCCUAAUUAUAUCUCCCAAAACAGUUUCGGGUUCUCAUUUUGGCAGGUUACAGUUUAUGUACAUCUCAUAGCAAAUUCUGUAGGGUGCUGUCAGCAAUUAGGCAGAAAUUGCCUUCAGUAAUUUAAUAUUCAUUUAGCAUUGGUUCAAUAAAUGAAUGAACACUGAUAGGAGCAAAGCACUGUUAAGCCCAGAAAUAAAAUCUAAGGUAAAACAGAAGACACA
Molecule: long non-coding RNA, 2009 nt
Organism: Herpailurus yagouaroundi (jaguarundi)
Lineage: Eukaryota; Metazoa; Chordata; Mammalia; Carnivora; Felidae
Exons: 3
Source: RefSeq, a predicted model, not a curated record